GAACCUACGGGACGCAGCAGUGGGGGAUAUUGCACAAUGGGGGAAACCCUGAUGCAGCGACGCCGCGUGUGGGAAGACGGUCCUCUGGAUUGUAAACCACUGUCCCCAGGGACGAAAAUGACGGUACCUGGGGAGGAAGCUCCGGCUAACUACGUGCCAGCAGCCGCGGUAAUACGUAGGUGGCGAGCGUUGUCCGGAUUUACUGGGUGUAAAGGGCGUGUAGCCGGGCUGACAAGUCAGAUGUGAAAUCCGGGGGCUCAACCCCCGAACUGCAUUUGAAACUGUUGGUCUUGAGUAUCGGAGAG
RNAcentral lists this ribosomal RNA (305 nucleotides) under uncultured bacterium. RNAcentral describes it as "bacterial SSU rRNA". It matches the Rfam family "Bacterial small subunit ribosomal RNA", at positions 333 to 656 of the family's 1533-position model. The record is from RNAcentral.